RNAcentral lists this ribosomal RNA (119 nucleotides) under Betta splendens (Siamese fighting fish). The record is from RNAcentral. Lineage: Eukaryota; Metazoa; Chordata; Actinopteri; Anabantiformes; Osphronemidae.
GCUUAUGGCCAUACCACCCUGAACACGCCUGAUCUCGUCUGAUCUCGGAAGCUAAGCAGGGUCGGGCCUGUUUAGUACUUGGAUGGGGGACCGCCUGGGAAUACCAGGUGCUGUAAGCU